GUGGGAGGGAAGGGGCGUUCAAAACCGCAAAUCACAGACUGCGCCUGCAAAGGGCGUGGGCUUUGUCUUUAAUAGUGUUAUUACAUAGCUGCAUGGAUCCCCCGGUAGUUGAGGGCGUAUUCUACGCCUCGCGGAUGCGCUUGAGCGUCGGCACCUGCGUGAGAACGACCCGCGGACGAAGAGAAACCGGCUUUUAUUUACUCCGACCGAACGUCUGACACGUGAACGCAACCCCGCGCGAUGGCUUGGAUACUUCCUACAAAAUAAAUCGAUAGAUAGUCCCUUAUGCGUCUAUCUUUCCUCUCUCUCUCUCUCUCGCUUUCCACAGCCUCUAAUGGCGACGUCGCGUUUUGCACACAAUGGCUUUCAUCAGCAGUGCGCAUUUAGCAGAAUAGCGAAAUAAAGCACAGCCCGGUUCUAGUCGGAUAUGGCGGGGAGCACAUCCGAGCCGCUGUGCCAGCCGUGCGUUUACCGCGGAGCCUUCAAAGUUCCAGGAGCAGCUGGGACACGGCUGCAGCCCGGAGGAGUCAGACACGUUUCAGGCUCAAGGAUCAGAGAUCCUUGACCAGAUGCUGCAGUGCCUUGAACAUCUACCAAAGCCUAUGCCCCAGCUGGAGGACUACCUGGACAUGGUGGGUCUGUCGGUCAUGUUCCCCCGUGUAGAGGUGUUCCUCAUUCAAGGCAGCCCAGUGGACAUGCUGGAGAGGCCGCCGAUGGACGACUACUACUCCCACGUCACCAAACUGAACCAGCUCCUGGUGCUGAGUCAACAGCUGGAAGAAGAUAUCCGGCACCUCGGGAGUCACAAAUACAUUGCCCACCAGCUGUCGGUCAUCUAUCAAGUCGUCUGCUCUUUCAGAGGCAUUCAGGCUUUUUCCAAAAUGAAGAAAGACAUCGAGGCCAACUUCAAACAGCUGAAGCAGUCUCUGGUGGCGGAGGAGGGCUCCAGGCACGAACCUCAGCUGGCCGCAAACUACAUCGACUGGGUACUAGAGCUGACUCAGAGCUUGACGUCGCUGGUGUUGACGCUGCCCGAGGAGCUGACCGAGGAACUCGACCAGGCCGUGACCUUCGUGUCCCAGUUCCUUUCCUGACUCCCCCCCCCCCACCCCCAAAGCUGACGCCUGGUGUUGUCACGACUGUCAAACGGUGCUAUGUUAUUGAAUUCAACCGGGGGGAUUGCGUACUCCAUUUACAAAUCAUGUAGGUUUUAUAUAUAUAUGUAUAUAAUUCGUCCUCCUGGUCCAUAUUCGUUCCUACGGUGAGUCAGUUAGAGAUGAAUGUAAUGUAUGAAUCCCUCCUUGCACUACUGUCAUAACUACUGUUAAACUUUCUUUUUUUUUAACCUAAAGUGGAAUAAUAAAAUGUAAUGCAAUAGGGA
Molecule: long non-coding RNA, 1381 nt
Organism: Gasterosteus aculeatus aculeatus (three-spined stickleback)
Lineage: Eukaryota; Metazoa; Chordata; Actinopteri; Perciformes; Gasterosteidae
Source: Ensembl